Molecule: ribosomal RNA, 461 nt
Filed under: uncultured bacterium
Lineage: Bacteria
Description: bacterial SSU rRNA
Rfam family: Bacterial small subunit ribosomal RNA
Source: RNAcentral
ACGGAUUUUGGGGCUUGCUCCAAAGUUAGUGGCGAACGGGUGAGUAAUACAUCGGAACGUACCCAGUUGUGGGGGAUGACGUAGCGAAAGUUACGCUAAUACCGCAUACGCACUGAGGUGGAAAGCGGGGGACCUUCGGGCCUCGCGCAAUUGGAGCGGCCGAUGUCGGAUUAGCUAGUUGGUGAGGUAAAGGCUCACCAAGGCGACGAUCCGUAGCUGGUCUGAGAGGACGACCAGCCACACUGGAACUGAGACACGGUCCAGACUCCUACGGGAGGCAGCAGUGGGGAAUUUUGGACAAUGGGCGAAAGCCUGAUCCAGCCAUGCCGCGUGAGUGAAGAAGGCCUUCGGGUUGUAAAGCUCUUUCAGACGGAAAGAAAUUGCUUCGGUGAAUAUCCGGAGUAGAUGACGGUACCGUAAGAAGAAGCACCGGCUAACUACGUGCCAGCAGCCGCGGUAAU